UAGCUAUCUGAGUUAUCCUGAGGUCGAGAGUUCGAGCCUCUCUCACCCCACGUUAUUCAAUUUUCCUGCAAGUUAAACACUUCGUAAUUAGGCCCAAGGCCCUAAACCCUCGACAAAACCCAGACAGACACAGUAGGCCGCCUUCAACCUCUCCCACGUUUUUCUCUACCAAUCGUCGAACAUCGCACUAGGAUUAAAGGUGGUGGAGAGGAGCAAAGAGAGAGCAAGAGCAAAAUGGCACCGCUGAAUACAAUAUCGUAAGGAAGGUGAAGGAGCACCACAAGAAGAAGGCCAAGGAAGCCAAGAAGCUCUCCCUUAAGCACAACAGAAGCUCAAGGCCCUCGAAGCCCGCCGUGCCCUCGCCCUCGAAGAGUUGGAGCAAAAGAAAGCCGCACGCAAAGAAAGGAUGUUGAUUAUGAUGAUGCAAAGCUGGAUGGCCAGGAGCAGUUCUAGUAUAAAGACUUAGAGAGGAAUAAGUGUCUUUUACACAAGGAUUAAGCUUUCUUUUACGUCAUUUCAAUAACUAGUCUUUUUUAAGACUACCUCAUGUUUUACUUUAUUUUCAGUUUCAAGUUUCUCUUCCUACACAAGUUUGUCCUUCAAAAAUUAUUUAUAAUACUCAAAAGGGAGAAAUG
Carya illinoinensis is the source of this 635-nucleotide long non-coding RNA. RefSeq lists it as uncharacterized. The transcript has 3 exons. NCBI's taxonomy places the organism in Eukaryota, Viridiplantae, Streptophyta, Magnoliopsida, Fagales, Juglandaceae. The record is from RefSeq and is a predicted model, not a curated record.